Molecule: ribosomal RNA, 399 nt
Filed under: uncultured eukaryote
Lineage: Eukaryota
Description: partial small subunit ribosomal RNA
Rfam family: Eukaryotic small subunit ribosomal RNA
Source: RNAcentral
GCUUGUCUCAAAGAUUAAGCCAUGCAUGUCUAAGUAUAAGCCUUUACACGGUGAGACUGCGAAUGGCUCAUUAAAUCAGAAACUGUUUAUUUGAUAGUGCCUACUACUUGGAUAACCGUGGUAAUUCUAGAGCUAAUACAUGCGAAAAGACGGGCCGCAAGGCUUGUUGUAUUUAUUAGAUAAAAAAUCAAUACCUGUUCUGCAGGUCCUAUUGGUGAGUCAUAAUAACUGUUCGAAUCGCAUGCUUCGGCAGGCGAUAGUUCAUUCAAAUUUCUGCCCUAUCAGCUUUCGACGGUAGUGUAGUGGACUACCGUGGCGUUAACGGGUAACGGAGAAUUAGGGUUCGAUUCCGGAGAGGGAGCCUGAGAAAUGGCUACCACAUCCAAGGAAGGCAGCAGG